Molecule: ribosomal RNA, 567 nt
Filed under: uncultured bacterium
Lineage: Bacteria
Description: bacterial SSU rRNA
Rfam family: Bacterial small subunit ribosomal RNA
Source: RNAcentral
AACGCGUGGGGACCUACCUCUUAGUGGGGGAUAACGGUUGGAAACGACCGCUAAUACCGCAUACGCCCUUCGGGGGAAAGAUUUAUCGCUAAGAGAUGGACCCGCGUUGGAUUAGAUAGUUGGUGAGGUAACGGCUCACCAAGUCAGCGAUCCAUAGCUGGUUUGAGAGGAUGAUCAGCCACACUGGGACUGAGACACGGCCCAGACUCCUACGGGAGGCAGCAGUGGGGAAUAUUGGACAAUGGGGGCAACCCUGAUCCAGCCAUGCCGCGUGAGUGAAGAAGGCCUUCGGGUUGUAAAGCUCUUUCAGAUGCGAAGAUGAUGACGGUAACAUCAGAAGAAGCCCCGGCUAAUUUCGUGCCAGCAGCCGCGGUAAUACGAAAGGGGCUAGCGUUGCUCGGAUUUACUGGGCGUAAAGGGCACGCAGGCGGUCUUGCCAGUCAGGGGUGAAAGCCCGAGGCUCAACCUCGGAACUGCCUCUGAUACUGUAAGACUUGAGACUAGGAGAGGGUGGUGGAAUUCCCAGUGUAGAGGUGAAAUUCGUAGAUAUUGGGAGGAACACCAGAG